RNAcentral lists this ribosomal RNA (253 nucleotides) under uncultured bacterium. RNAcentral's name for it is "partial 16S ribosomal RNA". It matches the Rfam family "Bacterial small subunit ribosomal RNA", at positions 524 to 776 of the family's 1533-position model. The record is from RNAcentral.
UACGAAGGGGGCUAGCGUUGUUCGGCAUUACUGGGCGUAAAGCGUGCGCAGGCGGCUUCUCAAGUCAGGGGUGAAAGCCCAGAGCUCAACUCUGGAAUUGCCUUUGAGACUGAGUGGCUUGAGUACGAGAGAGGUGAGUGGAAUUCCCAGUGUAGAGGUGAAAUUCGUAGAUAUUGGGAAGAACACCGGUGGCGAAGGCGGCUCACUGGCUCGUAACUGACGCUCAUGCACGACAGCGUGGGGAUCAAACAGG